UGGGGUGUGGCUCAGUGGCUGAGCACUUGCCUAGCAUGUACAAAGCCCUGGGUUCAAUCCCAGCACCACAG
This 71-nucleotide transfer RNA is filed under the name Marmota marmota marmota (Alpine marmot). It matches the Rfam family "tRNA". Rfam says of the family: Transfer RNA (tRNA) molecules are approximately 80 nucleotides in length. Their secondary structure includes four short double-helical elements and three loops (D, anti-codon, and T loops). Lineage: Eukaryota; Metazoa; Chordata; Mammalia; Rodentia; Sciuridae. RNAcentral also lists the same sequence under 1 other name. The record is from Rfam by way of RNAcentral.